This 29-nucleotide non-coding RNA is filed under the name Mus musculus (house mouse). The record is from RNAcentral. Lineage: Eukaryota; Metazoa; Chordata; Mammalia; Rodentia; Muridae.
UAUCUAUAAACAGUGUGGUGCUUAGCAAA